This 249-nucleotide ribosomal RNA is filed under the name uncultured bacterium. Its description in RNAcentral is "partial 16S ribosomal RNA". It matches the Rfam family "Bacterial small subunit ribosomal RNA", at positions 29 to 306 of the family's 1533-position model. The record is from RNAcentral.
AACGAACGCUGGCGGCAUGCCUAACACAUGCAAGUCGAACGAGACCUUCGGGUCUAGUGGCGCACGGGUGCGUAACGCGUGGGAAUCUGCCCUUAGGUACGGAAUAACUCAGGGAAACUUGUGCUAAUACCGUAUGAUGUCUUCGGACCAAAGAUUUACCGCCUAGGGAUGAGCCCGCGUAGGAUUAGCUAGUUGGUGGGGUAAAGCCUACCAAGGCUACGAUCCUUAGCUGGUCNGAGAGGAUGAUCA